This 254-nucleotide ribosomal RNA is filed under the name uncultured bacterium. RNAcentral describes it as "partial 16S ribosomal RNA". It matches the Rfam family "Bacterial small subunit ribosomal RNA", at positions 524 to 776 of the family's 1533-position model. The record is from RNAcentral.
UACAGAGGGUGCGAGCGUUGUUCGGAUUUACUGGGCGUAAAGGGCGCGUAGGCGGUCAGCACAAGUCAGUUGUGAAAUCUCCGGGCUUAACUCGGAAAGGUCAACUGAUACUGUGCGACUAGAGUGCGGAAGGGGCAACUGGAAUUCUCGGUGUAGCGGUGAAAUGCGUAGAUAUCGGGAGGAACACCUGCGGCGAAGGCGGGUUGCUGGGCCGACACUGACGCUGAGGAGCGAAAGCGUGGGGAGCGAACAGG